Molecule: small nucleolar RNA, 72 nt
Filed under: Halosimplex carlsbadense 2-9-1
Lineage: Archaea; Methanobacteriati; Methanobacteriota; Halobacteria; Halobacteriales; Haloarculaceae
Source: RNAcentral
GGCCGAUGACGACCCGCGGCUCCGAGCCGGCCUGACGACCCGGCCGUGACGACCCCUAUGAGUUCCGAGGCC